GUACAGCCAGAUUGUUUUGAAUCAUGCUAGGUUUUUAAAAUUGAAGUUUUAAUUUUUACUUAGUUUAGACACUCUGCAAUAUCACCAAAAAGUUCGCUGCAUAGAAAAUCAAGAAGUAAGGACUAUGAUGUAUAUAGUGAUAAUGAUAUCUGCAGUCAGGAAUCAGAAGAUAAUUUUGCCAAAGAGCUUCAACAGUACAUACAAGCCAGAGAAAUGGCAAAUGCUGCUCAACCUGAAGAAUCUACAAAGAAAGAAGGAGUAAAAGAUACCCCACAGGCUGCUAAACAAAAAAAUAAAAAUCUUAAAGCUGGUCACAAGAAUGGCAAACAGAAGAAAAUGAAGCGAAAAUGGCCUGGCACUGGAAACAAAAGAUCAAAUGCUUUGCUGAGGAACAGUGGCUCACAGGAAGAGGAUGGUAAACCUAAAGAGAAGCAGCAGCAUUUGAGUCAGGCAUUCAUCAACCAACAUACAGUGGAACGCAAGGGAAAACAAAUUUGUAAAUAUUUUCUUGAAAGGAAAUGUAUUAAGGGAGACCAGUGUAAAUUUGAUCAUGAUGCAGAGAUAG
Molecule: small RNA, 565 nt
Filed under: Pongo abelii (Sumatran orangutan)
Lineage: Eukaryota; Metazoa; Chordata; Mammalia; Primates; Hominidae
Description: retained intron
Source: RNAcentral